Molecule: long non-coding RNA, 3127 nt
Organism: Zootoca vivipara (common lizard)
Lineage: Eukaryota; Metazoa; Chordata; Lepidosauria; Squamata; Lacertidae
Source: RefSeq, a predicted model, not a curated record
CGCUCCUCCCUCGGCCUGGCUGGAGAUGGUACGAUCCGCCCGCAAAGCACCUCCUCGCCUGCCAGAGGGAGUUCAGCUGGCCGGGCGGGGAAGGAGGGCGUGAUGCAGCCGGCCAGGUGCCAUAGCAACGCAGCUCAAGCUCCGGGAUGGAACUAGCCAUAUCCCUCAGGGAGACAAGCAGGCACAGUUGGGUUUGUGGAACUGGUUCACACCUUGUUGCACCACAAGCGGAUGAAUGGCUAACUCUGAUGUAAGGUCAACUCUAAAAAUAAGAAGAGCAGCUUGGUGUGGGCCUUUUUGCAGCACACACAACAAGUGUUGCUGGCUGGGAGAAGCUACAGGAGACAGAGAGUUGGAGGCCAUCCUGGGGAAUGUGAUUGAAGGGACACAAGAAACAUACUGAUAUUGAAUGAAUGAAUGAAUGAAUGAAUGAAUGAAUGAAUGAAUUCAAUUCCUGAAAAUUCAGUACCGGACUUCCGGACUUCAGAGAUUUCACAUCUCGCCAGAGUGGGGUGUCCCAAUCAUGUGCAAUGGAGGCAAAGCUCCCCUUUCUCCAGGAAGGGCCAUUCAAAGCUGUGCAAAAAUGCUCCUAGUCUUACGUUACCCACUGAACUUUCCUGGAGCUAUCAAAGCCUGUGAAAUAACAACCAACAUCAACAAUGAAUAAUGCUUGCAAAGCUAAGCUUGCAAAACCACCAUCAUCUCAAGACUGUUUACAGCAGCUGAAUCACCUGAACUUGUCAGCAAUAAAAUCAACGGCUGGCUGUAGUUUUUGUAAGGUUAUUUGCUCAGGGAAUCCUCUCCUCUUCCUGUAACAAACAAACCCACAAGCAGCAGGUGGGUGGUAGAGCGUUGUCUUGAAUGCAUCACUUCAGAUUGCAGCUGGGAGCAGGUGAAGGCCACAUAAUGGCAGCUCCCUACCCUGAAAGAUAUAUCCCAGCUUUUCAGAAGGAAAGGAGGUUGAAAACUCCUUUUUGCUUGGUGUGCAGGUUUUGGGGGUGUAUUUGUUUUAAAACACAUCUUUCAGUCAUGUGGAUUCAUCCCCUUCCUGCAGGCACACACUCUGCUCCCCCUUUCCUGUUCACCUCCACCCCGAAUGGCUGCCCUGAGGUCUCAAGUUCGGGCCCUUGAAAUCUCAGGUUCAGAAAUGCUCUUGCCUGGCAACCCUAACAUACCCUGUUUCUCCGAAAAUAAGACAUAGCCAUAAAAUAAGCCAUAGCAGGAUUUUUAAGCAUUCAAGGAAUAUAAGCCAUACCCCGAAAAUAAGACAUCGUGAUAGGCGCCGCAGCAAUGCCAGCCGCGGCAGGAGGAGGAGGAAAAAAUAAGACAUCCCCUGAAAAUAAGCCAUAGUGUGUGUGUUUUUUAGGAAAAAUAAAUAUAAGACGGUGUCUAAUUUUCGGAGAGACACGGUACCCACAGUGCUGUGAAGUGAUGCAGCCUCAGUUCGACAGGUUCCUUCAUAAUUUGUGAGAAUUAAGACGGAGACACUGUGAAUGUUUCUGGACUCCCCCUCCCAUCAGUGUCAGGAUGAUGGGAGUUGUAGUUCAGCAAUAUCCCGAGGGCCACAAGUUCCAUGGUCCCUGCAUCCAGACUGCAUCCAACAGGAAGUCAGCCUGGUGGAGACUGAAUCAGCAGCAUUCAAAGCUGCAGAAGGAGGCAGAAAGCACACCGAUGACCAAGGAGGAGAGGGUGCAUGAGAGCAAGCAGAGCAUCUUGGGAAAAGCAGGUUAAGGUUUCUUGUGUGGGUGAUGCAGUGCCCAGAGGAAGUGUUGCCUCCUCUGGCUGGAAGGUUCCAACCCAGCUGCCCCACCUGCUAUGCAAAGCACAUUGCCUUGAUGUGGGGAAAUGUCCGGAAAGACAGGCUGUGAGGCAGAGAUGCUAAUCCACCUGUUGAGCUGGUAUGUGUGGGGCUCUGUGCAAACUGGGGUGACUCACUCUCUCUGCAUUUUUUUUUUUAAGGGAAAAAAGUGGGGGAGGGUCAAAGGCAAAUCCCUGCAGGAAGAGUGGUCUAGUAAGAGUUGUUAGCCAUAGUGGCUGAAAGGAACUUUCACAAAUAGCAGCAGUAUAUCGCUUUAGCAUUACUUUUGUUUUGAGUGGCUGGGGAAACCCAGCCAGAUGGGCGGGUAUAAAUAAUAAUUUGCUUGUUGUUUUUGUAGAAAAGGUGCCAGUACCCAAAGCCUGCUCACAGAGCUACAAUUCCCAGCACCCUUAAACUACAGUUCCCAGGAUUCUUUGGUGAAAGUCAUGUGCUUUAAAUGUGUGUAAGAUGUGCUUCAAAUGUACAAUGUGGAUCUGCCCUGAGGGGGGGGGGAGAGAAACUGGGUCUGCACCCCCAGGUGUUUUGAGUCUGGUGUGCAAUGCCCUUUUGCAUAUGUCAUUCCAUAGGUCAGGAGUGGAGAGCCACAUUCCCUCCUGGGCCAGCUCCCAGGGGCCACAUCCCAGUGGGGGGUGGAUGCAGAUGUAAAAGCAGGCACAGCAAUGCACAUGAAUCUUCAGUUCCAGUCACGGAAACCCAGGUUUCCACCCCCCUCAAUCUCUCCAUCACCCUGGAGGGGCACGAGCUCCUAGAGAGCCCCAGGGGCCAAACGAAGAGACGGGGGUGUUUUUCUGCUAAGGGGGCAGGAUACCUUCACCGCAUCAAAGGGACGAUGGUUGGGACCAUGUGUCGUCAAAUCUUGGGUGAGCACCUCCUUCCCUCAACCAGAGCAUUGAAAAUGGGUCGAGGAUGGGUAUUCCAGCAUGACAAUGACCCAAAACACACGGCCAGGGCAACAAAGGAGUGGCUCAAGAAGAAGCACAUUAAGGUCCUGGAGUGGCCUAGCCAGUCUCCAGACCUUAAUCCCAUCAAAAAUCAGUGGAGGGAGCUGAAGGUUCAGAUAGCUACACAUCAGCCUCAAAAUCUUACUGACUUGGAGAGGAUCUGCAAAGAGAUGUGUGCAAACCUGGUGGCCACCUUCAAGAAACGUCUGACCUCUGUAAUUGCCACCAAGGGUUUUGCCACCAAGUACCAAGUCAUCUUUUUGCAAAGGGAUCAAAUACUUAUUUCACUCAUUAUAAUGCACAUCAAUCUCUGACUUUUGUCUUCUGGGGUUUUUCCUGUUGUUAUUCUGUCUCUCAGCUACAAUAA